AAGAGGUGGAGGAGCAGAAUUGGGGAGGUAGAGGAAGGCAGAGUAAGAGAAGGGAUGGUUUGGGGACAAGGAGAGGAGGAGGAGGAAGUGGAGGAGGAUCAGAGUAGGGUAGUUGGAGGAGGGGAGGAGAGGAGGAGGGGAUGAGGUGGUGGAAGAGUAGAUUGAUGAGGUGUGAGCCGCGCAGGGACGGUAGCGUCGGUGAGUGAAACAGGUCAUCCGUCUCGUCUUAGUCUCCCGCACGGCCCUGCCCGCCCCGCUCCCUGCCGCCGCUGCCUUCACCACCACGAAGAGAGAAAAGAGGACGAGGAAAAAGCCUUUGUGUCGCUACCUCGCCGUCAAUACUGCACCUCGCUGAAGCCUCGCCGUCCCAUUGUCCUGCCUCGCGACCCUCCUGGCAGGCAGAUGUUUGAUGGAUGAGCGACGCGCACUGCCAGCCUUCGAUAUGUAAGGAAACCUGAGGGGGUGUAUUGGGUGUCACUGCGUCGGACUUUAGGCCACGCGCACGCACACACACUCACCAGCAAGCAUAAGGGUUUGUCACUGCCCUGGAACCUUUGAAAGCCGCGCCAAGACCCAUUCAUUUGUAUCGUGAAGUUGCUCCGGGUACACCGCGAGGGAGGACGGUCCACUGCCAGGCACUCAUCACUAGACAUCUACCCCAGGGACAGGCUUGGAGGCAGCAACACACCACCAUGCGCGGCGGCGCCUCUGCCUGGGCGGCAGUGGUGCUCGCUGCCUGCAGCAUUCACCUCCAACAGCCACGUCGCGGGGUCGUCGGCGUGGAAGUGCUGACCUUCCAAGAGGAUCGCCUGGUCUCGGGCAGCACACAGGCGUUGUACAAGGGCAAGCUGGAGACCGCGCGGCAGCUCGGUUCUGUUACCCUCUGUGGCAGGAUCUUUUUCUUCACCUUGCAUUCCUGGGCCACCUUCUUCAGACUCACCAACACCAAUGGUGUGAGAAGCAUACUAG
Molecule: long non-coding RNA, 969 nt
Organism: Eriocheir sinensis (Chinese mitten crab)
Lineage: Eukaryota; Metazoa; Arthropoda; Malacostraca; Decapoda; Varunidae
Exons: 4
Source: RefSeq, a predicted model, not a curated record